Molecule: non-coding RNA, 61 nt
Organism: Astyanax mexicanus (Mexican tetra)
Lineage: Eukaryota; Metazoa; Chordata; Actinopteri; Characiformes; Acestrorhamphidae
Source: Rfam
GUCUUUGGUUAUCUAGCUGUAUGAGUACAUUCACAUGUCAUAAAGCUAGAUAACCGAAAGU